AGCGAACGCUGGCGGCAGGCCUAACACAUGCAAGUCGAGCGCUCGUAGCAAUACGAGAGCGGCAGACGGGAGAGUAACACGUGGGAACGUACCCUUUGGUUCGGAACAACACAGGGAAACUUGUGCUAAUACCGAAUAAGCCCUUACGGGGAAAGAUUUAUCGCCGAAGGAUCGGCCCGCGUCUGAUUAGCUAGUUGGUGGGGUAAUGGCUCACCAAGGCGACGAUCAGUAGCUGGCUGAGAGGAUGACCAGCCUCAUUGGGACUGAGACACGGCCCAAACUCCUACGGGAGGCAGCAGUGGGGAAUAUUGGACAAUGGGCGCAAGCCUGAUCCAGCCAUGCCGCGUGGAUGAUGAAGGCCUUAGGGUUGUAAAGUCCUUUUAACGGGG
Molecule: ribosomal RNA, 389 nt
Filed under: uncultured bacterium
Lineage: Bacteria
Description: bacterial SSU rRNA
Rfam family: Bacterial small subunit ribosomal RNA
Source: RNAcentral